Long non-coding RNA from Fukomys damarensis (Damara mole-rat), 2867 nucleotides. RefSeq lists it as uncharacterized. The transcript is spliced from 4 exons. The record is from RefSeq and is a predicted model, not a curated record. Lineage: Eukaryota; Metazoa; Chordata; Mammalia; Rodentia; Bathyergidae.
GGCUCAGCUGAGUUUCCGGGAAGCCGGGCCCUUUCCACGAACCUCCGCACCCAAGUCCUCCACUUUCCCCAGGACAGAGGGAGGCCCUGGCCCGGCCGCCCGCGUCCUGCUUUCCUGGGCGCACGGUGGUGGCGAAGGGGACCCAGGAGGCCGAGUGCAGUGUAUUCUGGUACGGGGACGAUGGACGCGGACAGGAGGUGACAACGGCGCAGACCCGGUCCUGAUGGCCCUGCUGGGAAUCUCCCUAGAACCCACCCUCCGCACCGGGGACCCCGCUCACUCGACGGAUCUGCUCUGUCCCGCUCCUGCGUCCCCCGCUCAUGAUCCCGCUGCUCUGGGGACCCAGCGUCUCUGGGUCCCUGGGGCCCUCAGGGGACAAGACAGGACCAAGGCAGAGGCCAAACGCCACCAAGGCUCCUGGUGACAGGCAGAUGGGCGCUGGCUCCUGCGUCAGGGGGCCCAGGGUCAUCAUGGAGCGCGACAGACGUCCACACGCCCCCUGACUCUCUCUACACCAACCCAGAGCAAGGCACCCUGGCCAACUAGCUGCCCACCCCAAAGAGAAGGCCUCAGAGGCUGGGGUAGGGCCAUAGUUUGGAGGCUCUAGGGACAAGCACAACACCUUAGAAAUAGAUGGCUGAGAGCAAGACAUUAGAGCCCUGGCUCCCAACACCUUCACCAAGCAGAGAGCAGCCUGGCGUGGACAGCUACAGGAGACAGAGCUACAUUUCUGUGUGAUGUCGGCCACCGUUGUUUUGAAUUUGUCACAGGUAGUCAAAUUUAUAUCCUAAGUUGUGCUUUCAGUUCAGAAGUGACAGGAGGCAGAAGGGGUGGUGUGGACAUGGGGUCACGUGGCAUGUAUAUGGUACGUUUAACGGCAUAACCUGUGGUGACAAAGGACUAAAAUUCUCGGCACUUAAACAUCUUUGACAACACAUUUCUGCCCCGCACGUACUGGACAGUCAUGAAACACCACAUCGGUGAGGACUAAAACAGGCACAAGAUAAACGUCCUCCCCUAUCUAAUGUUACCUUUCCCCAAAAGGUUAAAACACGCAGAAACCCUUCUCUAAAUCUAAACAGGCUCUCUGAGGCCUAAGUGAGACGCCUUGAAAGUUUGCAACGUUGAUGUACAACUUUAGUUAGAAUACAGGUGUUCCUGGAAGAUGAUCAGAGAGCUGGGUCCCUGGAAGAUGGGGUCUCAGACUCUUUCUCGGGUCUUCAUUCCAUAAUAAACACCUGGCCUCCCACCCUGACUGUGUGAUUCCUCUCUUGGAGACUCGCUCUUGACAGUGCACUCGGUGACCUCAGUAGACUCCAGUGUUUCCUGUAUUCCUUGCCUGUUGGUUAAUUCUUUAACUGCCCAUGUCCCCUGCCCCCUGUAACCAUCCAGUACAACACAACCACACAACCGGCGUGUGGAGCUCUGUCCCUCCUGCCUAUCUGUCUCUCUGUCCUCCUCUCUGUCAGUCGGUUCUGCCUUCAGGCCAGGGAGAGGGGUGACAUUACCGGGACCCUAACCCUGGAUCCAGAAGGAAGACGGUGGGACCAUCUUGGGAAAAGCAGGCCCCGUCUCCACAGGGAGCCACUGUGGGGGGAGUCUGGCUGCAGGAAGCUGAGGGGAAAAGGUGCAGGUUUCCACGGUGGCCUUGCGGCCGCCCUGGAGUCCCUUCCCAACACCACCCGGAACUGUGGAAAGCAGAAGUGUGCACAGGCUGUGCCUGCUCCUGCUUCUGGAGAACCUGGUGCUGGGACAGCUGGGUGAGACGGGCUCCGGGCUGGAUACCCACAAAUGUUCCAGCGCAUGACCUGCCCCUGCAGCACUUGGAAAAUUCAAGGGCAACAGAGCGGGAGAUUGAUGCACGUCACUCAAAAUGUGCCUUUCUUUCUUUUUCGCAGCAGCAGGAGGGUAGAUUUUGAGUUGGAUAUUCAGAGAAACUAACACAGUCCCGACACAGACAGAGGCUGCCAUGGAGACAGAGGGGCAACUCCCAGGCCUGUAACCUGUUGCUCAUUAAAAGCAUGACUUGGGGCUGGGAAUUUGGCUCAGUGGUUCCCCCACCCGCCUCGCAAGCGCAAGGUCCCGAGUUCGAUCCCUGGUACAGAAAAAGUAAAAUCGUGAUUUGUGUUUUUUCCUCACAGGAACUUAAAAGUGAUCUUUGCUAGAAACUGUGACUCUUCACUCGGGUCUACCCUUGCCCAGUGGUAACUAAAAGUAGAAUAAAGCUUGAAUUCUGUCCCGAGAAACUCUUAAACUCCUCUGUAUUGCCUACCAGCCUGUUAGUCAUUCAGGGGGUGUCUGUGUAUGAGUCCUACACUUUCCUAGCUUACCUCCCCGCCCUUCAAGGCUGGGGGUGCUACGUCCGGGAGUCUCCAUCGUCCUGGACCUAUAGUCACCUCGGCUUCCAGGAAAGCCCCCAUGGCUGAGACUCCCCAGGUCAUGAGGCUCCCCCAUGGGAACUGAGCUGCCCCUCCAAGUCCCGAGGAGCCAACCUGAGCUGUGAAACCAGGACUGAGAUAAUGAUCGGCCUGACCCCCCAGCACCCCAGGACCCCACAAAACUGGUCUCCGUUCUUUUGUGAACAGGCCUGGCUGAUCCCCCUCAUGAGAUGUGCCCCCCUCCAGUUGCUCAGGCUGGAGUCCUUUCCCUAUUUCCCCUUUUAUUUUCCAAUUACAACUUCAGCCUGUAAUUCCAUUCUGUCAUUUUGGUUUUAAUUUCUAUUAUCAUGAAACCAAGGAUCCACACUAGCUGGUGACGAAACUACAGACCUCUGCAGGUGCAGGAAUGGCUUAGAAAAGCUGUCCCCUUUUUUGUUAUUAUUUGUUUGUUAGCUUGAGACAGGGUCUCGCUAUGUAGAUCAGGCUGUU